UGGGGUAUGGUGUAAUUGGCAACACGGAGGUUUCUGGUACCUUUGUUCUUGGUUCGAGUCCAGGUACCCCAGCAA
This 75-nucleotide transfer RNA is filed under the name Microterricola pindariensis. RNAcentral describes it as "tRNA-Gln". It matches the Rfam family "tRNA". From Rfam's summary of the family: Transfer RNA (tRNA) molecules are approximately 80 nucleotides in length. Their secondary structure includes four short double-helical elements and three loops (D, anti-codon, and T loops). Further hydrogen bonds mediate the characteristic L-shaped molecular structure. tRNAs have two regions of fundamental functional importance: the anti-codon, which is responsible for specific mRNA codon recognition, and the 3' end, to which the tRNAs corresponding amino acid is attached (by aminoacyl-tRNA synthetases). tRNAs cope with the degeneracy of the genetic code in two manners: having more than one tRNA (with a specific anti-codon) for a particular amino acid; and 'wobble' base-pairing, i.e. permitting non-standard base-pairing at the 3rd anti-codon position. The record is from RNAcentral. RNAcentral also lists the same sequence under 17 other names. Lineage: Bacteria; Bacillati; Actinomycetota; Actinomycetes; Micrococcales; Microbacteriaceae.